GACGGAAGGUGCAAGCGUUGCUCGGAAUCACUGGGCGUAAAGGGUGCGUAGGCGGCCGCGCAAGUCUGGCGUGAAAGCCCCGGGCUCAGCCCGGGAAGGGCGCUCGAAACGGCGCGGCUCGAGUGCCGGAGGGGAGAGUGGAAUUCCUGGUGUAGCGGUGAAAUGCGUAGAUAUCAGGAGGAAUACCGGUGGCGAAGGCGCCGCUCUGGGCCGAAACUGACGCUGAGGAGCGAAAGCAUGGGUAGCAAACAGG
RNAcentral lists this ribosomal RNA (253 nucleotides) under uncultured bacterium. RNAcentral's name for it is "partial 16S ribosomal RNA". It matches the Rfam family "Bacterial small subunit ribosomal RNA", at positions 524 to 776 of the family's 1533-position model. The record is from RNAcentral.